AUGUGCUCUUCUCACAGAGACCCAGGCCAAGGAAGAACUCUCCACCACUACCACUUCUUAAAUUUCAGAGCUGAAAAUGACUGAAUAGUCAUGGUAAUACACAUAGUUGACGUAACCGAUACGAAGAAUGAAAAACAUUCUUUCUACAUGUGAGAACUGCCUGGUUGGUUCUGCUCCGAGUGCCUCUCUGGAGGGCACAUGGAUUGAUUUGACAAUCACUUCAUUCUACUAGAGCCUGACCUUCGGUCUGGAAGUCGGGUAUAUGCCGCAGAGACUUAGAUGACAGCUGCGGGCUUCUGCUGGUGGGCAGCUGACAGCGUCCACCUUAAAGGACUGCCUUCAGUACCAUCUACAUUCUCCUACCUGGGACUGUGUGGCCAUGCAGACCGGCUCAGGUUUGAAAUCCUCACCUUCACAAAACAAUUCAACUGAUUUUGGUGGCUCCUGGUCUUCUUAAGUUAGUGGCAGCAUAACUCCAAGCUUUUCCUGUGUCUCCACAAGGUCUCUCUCCUUAUAUGUGUCUUUGUCCCUUUGGGGUCUCUUAUGUGAACAUUGUCAUUAACAUUAGUGCUUGGCCUAACUUAGUUUGAUAGUCUUAAUUUUUAUCUUCCCUUUACCUAUAAAAUCCCUAUUUCUAAAUAAAGGUAUAGUCUGUGAUGUACAGAGCACAAAAAUCUUAGAGUAAAGAAAGCCCCACUUCACCUACUAUAUGUGAGAAGAGUGGGCGGUGUUCCCAGUGGGUUGGGGAAUGUCUGAAAAGGUGUCUCCUGUGAGAUGUAUUGGGAAAUGAGGGUAUAAAUGACUUCGUGGUGGAGACAGGCUGAUAAGUGCCUAUAGUGCAGUGACAGUUAAUGGUAGGUUAUAUAAUGCUAACUUAGAGGGGGAGUGUGCCUAGGGAUACAAGUGGAGGUCACCUCAACGAGGGGAUAUUGAGUUGUCUUGAGCAAAGCAUAGAAAUACUGAUGAAUGCUAGAUUCAAAAUUGAAGCAGUCUUUAGGGAAAAAGACAGGUCUUUGCAUUUCACUAGAUUGCAUCCUCUUUUCCAUAGGAAGGCACUUGAGUACAUAUUACAGAACUGACAUAGGUUUGAAAGCUGUGUAUGGGCCCAUUAACUUUUGGUAGACACCUAUUUCUUAUUCCUAGAAUCAUAGUUGUUGCUUGAUGUUUCUUUUUGGCCCAUUGUUCCUUCUCUAGUUUUCUAUUAACCACUUAAUUUAAUAAACCUUCAUCUGUACUGACAAUAAAUGUGUUAAUAUUCCUCCGUAUCACAUCGAGUAGCCUUUCAUGGUGUGGCUAGUAGCCACGUCUCUGAUACACUAGAGUUCUGUCUCUUGGUGUGGAUAUGAAAGGUUGCUUCCCAGGAAUCUUUCUCACAGAGGGCCAAGAGGUUCCUGAAGUGCCCAGACAGGCACUGCUUGUCAUUUAGCAGUCUGUCCACAUUCUGAAAGUGGCCCAAAUUUUCAUAGAAAUUGGAAAUUGAGGGGGCAUCAAAAGCCCCAAGUUUCUUGUUUAAAAGGUUUUCUGGUCCCAGGUUUCAUUUGCUAUAAGAAUCAGUCUUCAUAGCAUUGUUAAUAUGAAUGUCUACAGACACGGUAUUUUUCUUGAUUUAUUCCUUGACAUUUAGUUCUUCAAUCUUAAUGUCUAGAUGUUUUUUUCUUCCUUCAAUUCCAUCUUUAGUUUUGUCAACAAUGGGAUUCAAAUGAAGAAAUUUAAUUAUUUGAGAUAUACAGUGAGUCCCUGUGACCCCACUAUUAAAA
RNAcentral lists this long non-coding RNA (1757 nucleotides) under Mus pahari (shrew mouse). RNAcentral's name for it is "lncRNA (MGP_PahariEiJ_G0003104.1)". Lineage: Eukaryota; Metazoa; Chordata; Mammalia; Rodentia; Muridae. The record is from RNAcentral.